UACUUUUGCACCUCAAUACAUAAUAAUCAUUUAAAUAAUAUUGGAAUG
Molecule: regulatory RNA element, 48 nt
Organism: Weeksella virosa DSM 16922
Lineage: Bacteria; Pseudomonadati; Bacteroidota; Flavobacteriia; Flavobacteriales; Weeksellaceae
Rfam family: S15-Flavobacteria ribosomal protein leader
Source: Rfam